GCCGUCUUAGCUCAGUUGGCAGAGCGUAUGGCUUUUUACCAUAAGUUCGUGGGUUCGAUCUCCACAGACGGAA
This is a non-coding RNA of Papaver somniferum (opium poppy), 73 nucleotides long. Lineage: Eukaryota; Viridiplantae; Streptophyta; Magnoliopsida; Ranunculales; Papaveraceae. The record is from the annotation of a RefSeq genome assembly.